Molecule: long non-coding RNA, 696 nt
Organism: Lontra canadensis (Northern American river otter)
Lineage: Eukaryota; Metazoa; Chordata; Mammalia; Carnivora; Mustelidae
Exons: 3
Source: RefSeq, a predicted model, not a curated record
GGUUCCUGUUCUUGCUGAGGCUGAGGCUUCAACGGCUAAACCACCCCAGAGGUACAUGAUGGGGCUAACCGAGGGGUCACCCUGGCAACCUGUGCGCAAAGCAGAACUUACUUGUCAUGACGGAUGAUGAUGGAUGGUCCCUGAGCUCAGUCAUGUUCCUCAGGGAACAGGGCACAUUGUAAAAAUGCAUCUCAGAAAACAUCUUUCUUCAAAAAGCAGCUUUGAACCCUAGAACACAUUUAGCAUGAUCUGAGGCAUCACCAGAAAUAGCAGCAGUGGGUCCUGGAAGCCGUGGCUGUCAUUUGAAUGGGACAUAAACAUGGGAGGAAACGGGGAUGAGGCGGCCGGUUAUGCCUCAUCCCUUCCAGCCCCCCCUUACGCACACAGGAAGUCACAGCCAGGACUGUCAUCUCUUCGGACAAAGGAUGAUGAUGUAAAAAGAGUCUGAAAUGUAAAGAUGGCAAAUACUCACCAUUAAGUCAUGUAAACUGCCUGCCUGACCCUUAAUCGUGUUCAUUCUUUUGAACCUGAACAUCUCAUCCUGUAAUUUCCUUGGUCGUAUAGCCCCUUCUAUUCCCUGGAAAUAAGACACACUUUCUUUUUCCCCAGCUUGGCCCCGCAAGAGUUAUUUUAGAAGGCUCCUAAAUCCAGUUUAAACGUGAAAAAAGGGAAGGUCUUUGAAAAGAGAUAUUUUUG